Molecule: long non-coding RNA, 673 nt
Filed under: Ursus maritimus (polar bear)
Lineage: Eukaryota; Metazoa; Chordata; Mammalia; Carnivora; Ursidae
Description: lncRNA (ENSUMAG00000000049.1)
Source: RNAcentral
AGAAUACUCACCUCACUUUGUGCUCCAUUGACUCAAAGUUCCAAUAGAACCCCAGAUGACUUUGUGUGUGUUCCCAGCAAUCCACCUUGGGUCCUCUUUUCUCCUCCCUCCACAUCCUCUCCCUGGGGAAUUUCAUCAUCAUCUGCUGUGGCCUCAGCCACCAUCUCUAUGGGUGUGACUCUCACAUAUGUUCAUCUCAACCCAACCUUGGACUGAGCCCUUGACCCUCGUCCACCCUUCCUGGAUAUCUCCGUGUGCAAGUCCCACAGGCAUCUGUAAGCCAAUAGGUCCUGAACUGGAUUCAGACCCUCCUCUUCUCCAAAUCUGCUCACCCUCCUGCAGUCUUGGUAUUGAUGAGGGAAAUCUGACACAGCUAGAAAGCAAUGGAAAACACUAAGGGUUGCAUCAGAUGUUGAAGAGGAACUGAUCAUACCAUGGAGAUAAAAAUGAUCUCUGUAAGGAGGAUUUUAAAAAUCUGGUUAUUUAAAGGUAGCAGCCUUUUUGAGGAAAACUAACAAGGGUUCCAGAGGCCAAUUCACCCUUGCUAGCAACGUGGGCCCCAUGUUAGAAGGAGGAAUGGAUGUGUCUUGAUGCUGUUCCUCUUCCACUCAGCGUAGACUUGCAAGAGUGGGCUGCAAAUAAAUUUUCAUUCCUUUUCCUGGUUUUUCCCUGU